UACGASGGAGGCAGCAGCUAAGAAUCUUCCGCAAUGGACGAAAGUCUGACGGAGCGACGCCGCGUGAGCGAUGAAGGUGCUCUGCAUUGUAAAGCUCUUUCGGGAAGGAAGAAUAAGGGUCCAUGAAUAGUGGAUCUGAUGACGACCCUUCCUAAAGAAGCCCCGGCUAACUUCGUGCCAGCAGCCGCGGCAAUACGUAGGGGGUAAGCGUUGUUCGGAAUCACUGGGCGUAAAGGGCAUGUAGGCGGGAAAGUAAGUUGGGGGUGAAAUCUACGGGCUCAACCUGUAAACUGCCUUCAAAACUGCUUUUCUUGAAUGUGGGAGGGGAGAUCGGAAUUCCUAGUGUAGGAGUGAAAUCUGUAGAUAUUAGGAAGAACACCGAUGGCGAAGGCAGAUCUCUGGCCUGACAUUGACGCUGAUAUGCGAAAGCGUGGGGAGCGAACAGGAUUAGAUACCCUGGUAG
Molecule: ribosomal RNA, 463 nt
Filed under: uncultured bacterium
Lineage: Bacteria
Description: bacterial SSU rRNA
Rfam family: Bacterial small subunit ribosomal RNA
Source: RNAcentral